CCAGACUCCUACGGGAGGCAGCAGUGAGGAAUAUUGGUCAAUGGGCGCGAGCCUGAACCAGCCAAGUCGCGUGAGGGAAGACGGUCCUAUGGAUUGUAAACCUCUUUUGUCGGGGAGCAAAAGACGCCACGCGUGGCGUUCCGAGAGUACCCGAAGAAAAAGCAUCGGCUAACUCCGUGCCAGCAGCCGCGGUAAUACGGAGGAUGCGAGCGUUAUCCGGAUUUAUUGGGUUUAAAGGGUGCGCAGGCGGAGGCGCAAGUCAGCGGUAAAAUUGAGAGGCUCAACCUCUUCCUGCCGUUGAAACUGCGUUUCUUGAGUGGGCGAGAAGUACGCGGAAUGCGUGGUGUAGCGGUGAAAUGCAUAGAUAUCACGCAGAACUCCGAUUGCGAAGGCAGCGUACCGGCGCCCAACUGACGCUCAUGCACGAAAGCGUGGGUAUCGAACAGGAUUAGAUACCCCAGUACA
Molecule: ribosomal RNA, 465 nt
Filed under: uncultured bacterium
Lineage: Bacteria
Description: bacterial SSU rRNA
Rfam family: Bacterial small subunit ribosomal RNA
Source: RNAcentral